This 253-nucleotide ribosomal RNA is filed under the name uncultured bacterium. RNAcentral's name for it is "partial 16S ribosomal RNA". It matches the Rfam family "Bacterial small subunit ribosomal RNA", at positions 524 to 776 of the family's 1533-position model. The record is from RNAcentral.
UACAGAGGGGGCGAGCGUUGUUCGGAUUCACUGGGCGUAAAGGGUGCGUAGGUGGUCGGGUAAGUCUGAUGUGAAAUCUCUGGGCUCAACCCAGAAAUGGCAUUGGAUACUAUUCGGCUAGAGGAGUGGAGGGGGGACUGGAAUACUUGGUGUAGCAGUGAAAUGCGUAGAUAUCAAGUGGAACACCAGUGGCGAAGGCGAGUCCCUGGACACUUCCUGACACUGAGGCACGAAAGCUAGGGGAGCAAACAGG